CCCGCAGGGAGACGGCGGCCCCACCUGCCGGGGGCAGCCCGCCCCGGCCGGCGCGUCCCCGCCCCCAGCACUGCUGGCGGCUGCCUGAGCUCCACGCCGGCUCCUCGCCGCUCGGCCCGAGCGCUCGCUCGGUGGGGCCGGGGCUCCCGCGGGGGUGUGGGGGGUGGGCAGCGGGCUCGCACGGGGCUAGGGCGUUUUAGUUUCCAGCCGCACGUCGGCACCGCGCCGCGGGACGCUGCUCCAGUGUGUUGAAGAGUCUGCAAGAAUGUCCAAGACAUCCAUAUCCUAUCUGAUGCUGGACUCUGUGGGAAACUUUCUGAACAUUUCAGUGGGAUGUUGAGCAGAGCACCAGUAAUAAGAAUGAUUGACUGUGACCAACCUGUAUUAGAUUUUAGUUGAAGAAUUAAGCAAUGGAAACAUCCACAUCCAGUUUUUAGUCCCACAUGAUACUCUGUGACUGGUAUAGAAAAACCUAAGAAAUCUCCUUUUACUGGUGUGUCUUGUACCCAGGGAGCUGAGGGUUUUGGGAGAAGUAUGCUUGCUGUCAUCUUUCAGUGAUGACAUCUUUGGAUAUGUACUUGAAAGCUCAUUCUAAUUUUGAGGGUAUUUGAGAUGGAUGUAAAAGAAAGAAUACUGAAUUAUGUACAUUUUGUUGUUUUCUGGGUAAAUGAUUUUGAACUGAAAGAAUGCAAAUGAAGAAACGUUAUUAUUCAGUUGUCCAGAGUACUGAAGUGUUGUUUUAUAUCAGCAUUGUUCAAGAAUUAAAGAGCAGAAGAGUGGGGAAAUAACUCUUGAAAGCUUAUUCAAAAAGGCUUAUCAUGUAUUGCAUCGCUGGCAGUUACAGCUGUUACAGUACAGAGAGUUCUUGGGUAUCCGAAGCACGUUCAUGUACUUUGGGUAUAGAGAUCUGAAGCUGAAUGCGCUUUGUAUAUUUUGUGGAAAAAUAAAUCUAUUUGUUUUAAAUUGAAAAAA
Tyto alba (common barn owl) is the source of this 972-nucleotide long non-coding RNA. RefSeq lists it as uncharacterized. The record is from RefSeq and is a predicted model, not a curated record. NCBI's taxonomy places the organism in Eukaryota, Metazoa, Chordata, Aves, Strigiformes, Tytonidae. The transcript has 2 exons.